UACGUAGGGUGCGAGCGUUAAUCGGAAUUACUGGGCGUAAAGCGUGCGCAGGCGGUUCGUUAAGUCAGAUGUGAAAGCCCCGGGCUCAACCUGGGAACUGCAUUUGAAACUGGCGGGCUUGAGUGUGGCAGAGGAGAGUGGAAUUCCUGGUGUAGCGGUGAAAUGCGCAGAUAUCAGGAAGAACACCUAUGGCGAAGGCAGCUCUCUGGGACGGUACUGACGCUGAGACGCGAAAGCGUGGGGAGCGAACAGG
Molecule: ribosomal RNA, 253 nt
Filed under: uncultured bacterium
Lineage: Bacteria
Description: partial 16S ribosomal RNA
Rfam family: Bacterial small subunit ribosomal RNA
Source: RNAcentral